AUGAACUUUGAUUUGCACAUGAAUUCGGUGGAUAAUUUAACAGGCCUUAGUGAACUUAGAAAUCUCAGGUCUCUUAAUUUCUGCUGCGAUCAUGCUGAACAUACCACCAGCCAACAUGGAAUUCACAUGGACAUUUUCUGGUGUUCUGUGGCCAAACUUCUCUGUUGCAAUCUGAGAAAUCCUGGAUCUGCUAGUAACAUAUUUUGUCCUCCAUCUGUUGAGUUGGCUUCUCUGAUCACUAGCAAUAGUGAGAGCAAUCUUAUGGAACUCCAUGUUGCAGCAACUUGGAUGUUUCCGAGGGUGCCAAUUUGGACUGGUCAAUUCCAAAAGCUCUCCACGUUAGGAAUUUGUGUUGAGAAGAUGAUGCCGGUGGACUUUGAUUUGCUAGCAGGGUUACCUAAUCUACUGCACCUGUGGUUGUGGAUACGAAAAUCCCCAGAAAUGAGGAUUAUCAUCCAUGGUGGUGCGAUGGCAUUCAAGCUUCUAAAAUAUUUGAGAAUCACGUGCUUCGCUCCCUGCCUAACCUUCAUGGCAGGGGCAGUGUCUGAACUCCAAACCUUGGAACUGGAUAUCCAUGAGGACGGGGGGGAGCGUCAUGGCCCCUCGACCAUUCAGGGCGUGGAGCACCUGUCGAGACUCAGGCAAGUUGAUGUUUAUAUUCACUUUGAGGGAGCUGAUACAGAGUCACAAAGAAGGGCUGCCGACGCGGAGGCUAUCUUGAAGAAUGUCAUCAGCGUCUAUCCAGGACACCCGAGCAUCAACAUCAGGCCUACAGAUAACAGAAACUCUCUUUGUAAGAUCCAUGAACUUUCCAGUGACACUUCUGAUAGGGACGAAGAGGCGGAAAGGCAAGGUAAUGAUCCAGUUGAUCGAUCUGCCGAGGCAGCCACGCAUGCUCCAGCCGCCGUUGCUGAUGGAUCAACAAGGAAUUCACGGUAG
Molecule: ribosomal RNA, 939 nt
Filed under: Triticum aestivum (bread wheat)
Lineage: Eukaryota; Viridiplantae; Streptophyta; Magnoliopsida; Poales; Poaceae
Description: partial small subunit ribosomal RNA
Source: RNAcentral